This 1230-nucleotide long non-coding RNA is filed under the name Sinocyclocheilus grahami. Its description in RNAcentral is "lncRNA (ENSSGRG00000021069.1)". The record is from RNAcentral. Lineage: Eukaryota; Metazoa; Chordata; Actinopteri; Cypriniformes; Cyprinidae.
GCAAUAAGAUGCAUAUGAAAAUAGACAGUGUAAAUGUCGAUAGGGUGUGUUUUUUUUUUUUUUUUUAGAAUGAAAGUCAAGUAAAUUUAGCUUUCUCAUCAUAUGACCCCUUGUGCAUCUAGUGCUGUUCAGUGAUCUCCACUGUAAUGCAUCUCUAUCAGAUCAGCUGCCGCAGCUCCUGCAGAUGAUGAGCCCUCAGCGCUGUGAACACUGUGAGACCAUUAAAGGACCCCCGGGACCCCCUGGAUCUCCAGGGCCUAAAGGGUCCAGCGGGCCCCAGGGCUAUCCCGGCAGACAUGGCACUCAGGGCUACCCAGGACCGCCGGGCAUCCAAGGACCUCCCGGAGUCAAAGGGGACACAGGCCCACAGGGGUUUAAGGGGAAUAAAGGGGAGAGCAGACCAGGAUACCCAGGGCCUCCUGGAGACACAGGGAUCCAGGGUCCUCGCGGCAGUGAUGGCGUUGGUAUUCCGGGUCCUCCGGGAAUCCCGGGUAAAUCCGGGGCUCCGGGCAUCCCGGGGAAGCAAGGUCCUCCAGGGCCGGCCGGCGUGUGCGACAUGUCCAUCUGCUACCAAUCCUAUGACCUCAGGGAUGAGCGCUACAGCAAAGGGCCCGGUUUCUAACACACGCGCUUGAGCGAACACAUGGGCUCAGCUCUCGGACUGCCAGAAGCGCCGCAGAGAAUCCAGAGGAAUUUACUGACAUGGCUUUAGACAUUAUCUGUGCAUUGUUCCGGUGCAAUGAAACAUCAGGGGCCUGUAGAUGAAUGACGGCCAUUAGAGUGACAUUUAAUGACAUGAAACCUGCCUUUUGAUGCACAAAGAGUUGGUGCGUAAACACCAUUUACACAAUAGUACGUACAUAAGAUAAUUUGCAAAACAAUACUGCAAGUAUAUUAAUGUGGAUAGAUGUCAAUGUCAUAAACAUUAACAUUUAUUGUCAUUACUUAUGAAUAUUAAUUAUAAGGUAAAUGGCUAUUUUGUUCCUAAACAAGGAACUUUUUUGCAACAAGAUAUGAGAUGCAAUAUUAAAAGCAUUAGCUCGUUUGUGGUUUGGUAUUAAUGAAGAUUAAGAAUAAGUGGCUUUAUUACUUCAGGGACAGAUAUUAAAAAUAAAGGGGAUAAGCUUAUGUUUGCGUUUGGCAAAAAUAUGUUUUUAAUCUUGAUUUCAACAAUACUUGACUUUUUAAGACACAACAGCCAUCAUAUUUUCAUAUUUAAUUGAAUUACUA